GAUGAAGAACGCAGCGAAAUGCGAUAAGUAAUGUGAAUUGCAGAAUUCAGUGAAUCAUCGAAUCUUUGAACGCACAUUGCGCCCAUUAGUAUUCUAGUGGGCAUGCCUGUUCGAGCGUCAUUUCAACCCUUAAGCCUAGCUUAGUAUUGGGAAUCGACUUUACUGUCGUUCCUCAAAUUCAACGGCGGAUUUAUAGCAAUCUCUGAACGUAGUAAUUUUUUUCCUCGUUUUUGAAAUACUAUAAACCUCAGCCGCUAAACCCCCAAUUUUUCUAUGGUUGACCUCGGAUCAGGUAGGAAUACCCGCUGAACUUAAGCAUAUCAUAAGCGGAGGA
Molecule: unclassified non-coding RNA, 334 nt
Filed under: soil metagenome
Description: partial contains 5.8S ribosomal RNA, internal transcribed spacer 2, and large subunit ribosomal RNA
Rfam family: 5.8S ribosomal RNA (bases 1-120)
Source: RNAcentral